RNAcentral lists this ribosomal RNA (758 nucleotides) under uncultured bacterium. RNAcentral's name for it is "bacterial SSU rRNA". It matches the Rfam family "Bacterial small subunit ribosomal RNA", at positions 8 to 796 of the family's 1533-position model. The record is from RNAcentral.
AGAGUUUGAUCAUGGCUCAGAAUCAACGCUGGCGGCGUGCCUAACACAUGCAAGUCGAACGAGAAAGUGGUAGCAAUACCAUGAGUAAAGUGGCGCACGGGUGAGUAACACGUGACUAACCUACCCUGGAGUGGGGGAUAACUGAGGGAAACCUUAGCUAAUACCGCAUAAUACCUACGGGUCAAAGGAGCAAUUCGCUUUGGGAGGGGGUCGCGGCCGAUUAGUUAGUUGGCGGGGUAAUGGCCCACCAAGACGAUGAUCGGUAUCCGGCCUGAGAGGGCGCACGGACACACUGGAACUGAAACACGGUCCAGACUCCUACGGGAGGCAGCAGUGGGGAAUUUUGCGCAAUGGGGGAAACCCUGACGCAGCAACGCCGCGUGGAGGAUGAAGUCCUUCGGGACGUAAACUCCUUUCGAUCGGGACGAUUAUGACGGUACCGGAAGAAGAAGCCCCGGCUAACUUCGUGCCAGCAGCCGCGGUAAUACGAGGGGGGCGAGCGUUGUUCGGAAUUAUUGGGCGUAAAGGGUGCGUAGGCGGUUUGGUAAGUCUUGUGUGAAAUCUAUGGGCUCAACUCAUAGUCUGCACGAGAAACUGCCGGGCUUGAGUGUGGGAGAGGUGAGUGGAAUUUCCGGUGUAGCGGUGAAAUGCGUAGAUAUCGGAAGGAACACCUGUGGCGAAAGCGGCUCACUGGACCACAACUGACGCUGAUGCACGAAAGCUAGGGGAGCAAACAGGAUUAGAUACCCUAGUAGUCC